RNAcentral lists this long non-coding RNA (2092 nucleotides) under Citrus sinensis (sweet orange). RNAcentral's name for it is "long non-coding RNA (CSIN_LNC000780)". The record is from RNAcentral. Lineage: Eukaryota; Viridiplantae; Streptophyta; Magnoliopsida; Sapindales; Rutaceae.
UCGAAGUGAAAGCAAGACCGAGAGAAGAAAAGAAGAGAAACCAAGAAAAAAGAAAAGAACGGAGGAAAAUGAAGAAGCCGAGAGUGGGGAAGAGAGAAAUUGAAAAGAAAAGAUACAGAAAAUAGAAUUGGAUAGUUAGAAUUAUAUCCAUUGGAUCAGUGGGUAAUAGAUUUAUGAAAUUUAAGUAAUUAUGUUACAGUCUGCAUGAUACGUAUAAGUUUUUAUAUCAGUUCUAACAGUUAAUUUUCGAACCCUGCAUUUUAGGAGGAACUUGAGAGUCCAGAGACCCACAACAGCCCCAACGAACCCCGGAGUGAAACAUGAUCUGUGAGUGGAUAUUAUUACUUUUAUGUAUUCCGUGAAGCAUUUAUGUUUGAUAAUAUGAUUUAAUAUCACGCUAUGAUUACAUGUACGCAUAUUAUAUGUUUGAUUGAGUCAUGAGAUAUGAUUGUCAGUCGCCAUAUAUGUACCCUUCCCCGUAGACUCUGUGCAUGCGUAUUGAGAGUUAGGUUACUCUACCCAUGCGAUGUAGCUAAAUUCUGCUAGGUAUUGAGAGGUUUUUCCCCUGCUCUACUCGUUCGAUGAUGAACCCGACGAGUAUUGAGAGUUAUUUCCUCUAGGUACUAUUUGGUGCAGUUUGUGAUGUAUGUAUGUAUGAAUUCCAUGUUUGCUAAUGUAUGACAUUCAAUGUGGAGUUAUGUCACAUGAUUAUGCAUAAGCACUAGUACACUAUAUUAUUAUUAUUAUUAUUAUUAUUAUUAUUAUUAUUAUUAUUAUUAUUAUUAUUAUUAUUAUUAUUAUUAUUAUUAUUAUUAUUAUUAUUAUUAUUAUUAUUAUUAUUAUUAUUAUUAUUAUUAUUAUUAUUAUUAUUAUUAUUAUUAUUAUUAUUAUUAUUAUUAUUAUUAUUAUUAUUAUUAUUAUUAUUAUUAUUAUUAUUAUUAUUAUUAUUAUUAUUAUUAUUAUUAUUAUUAUUAUUAUUAUUAUUAUUAUUAUUAUUAUUAUUAUUAUUAUUAUUAUUAUUAUUAUUAUUAUUAUUAUUAUUAUUAUUAUUAUUAUUAUUAUUAUUAUUAUUAUUAUUAUUAUUAUUAUUAUUAUUAUUAUUAUUAUUAUUAUUAUUAUUAUUAUUAUUAUUAUUAUUAUUAUUAUUAUUAUUAUUAUUAUUAUUAUUAUUAUUAUUAUUAUUAUUAUUAUUAUUAUAUAUAAUUACAUCCACUCACUGAGCCGCAAGCUCACUAUUUUCCUAUUUACCCAUUUCCUUCCAAGAUUCCGCAGGAUUUCGUACAUAUCAGUUCUAAUUAAUUGAGGUUGGGCCACGAGACACACUGUUGCAUGUCUUGCAUUUUGAGCACGUUUAUGUUGCUUAUGUUUUAUAUUUAAAUAAAUUUCUAUUGUCAAUAUGUACAAUGAGACAUGACUUAUGCAAGUUUUGAAUUCAUAUAUGGUUUCAGAAAAGGCACAGAGGUUGUUAUGUGUUUAUAGGAAAGGCCAUAUUAUUUUCAUGAAUUAAAUUUACGCCACAAGUUUUAGUUAUUAGUCCGCACGAUUCGCCUCAAAUCCGACAUAUAGGUCGGGGUGGGUCGUGUCAAAUUUAGUUUAAUUAAAUUGAACUAGAUCACAAUGAGAUUUUGUUAAACUUUGCAAUGGUUGCCAAACUUAUUAAAUCUUAUAAGCAUUAAUUUUACUUCAAUUAUAAUCUUCAGUUAAUUAUAGUUUCAUGAUUGCGAUUUUUAUACUAUUUGAGGUCUCGAUGGAUGCGAAAUAUAUUUAUACUAUUUUAGAUAGCGUACAAUUAUGGAGGUUGGUUCCAGUCUUCUUGUGGAGUAGAUUUAGAAUUCAUUUAGGCUUCUGAUCUAUUAAAUUGUUGGUGACUAGUUCGCACUUGAAUCAUAACCAAGGAAGAUUGUUGCCGACAAAUUGUGAUCUAUUAAAUUGCUGGUGACUAGUUUAUGUCUUGGGUGCUUGAAUUACUACUCCAAAAGGGUAAAUGUACGAUACCUAGUGUACAAUAAUUUUACAUAUUUUGUAAGAGUUGUGAUUCAAUGAUUUCUGCUGCAAAAUAUUUUUUAACCAACAAGUAAUAUGUGAAAGAGGG